UUAAGCGACUAAGCGUACACGGUGGAUGCCCUGGCAGUCAGAGGCGAUGAAGGACGUGCUAAUCUGCGAUAAGCGUCGGUGAGGUGAUAUGAACCGUUAUAACCGGCGAUUUCCGAAUGGGGAAACCCAGUGUGUUUCGACACACUAUCAUUAACUGAAUCCAUAGGUUAAUGAGGCGAACCGGGGGAACUGAAACAUCUAAGUACCCCGAGGAAAAGAAAUCAACCGAGAUUCCCCCAGUAGCGGCGAGCGAACGGGGAGGAGCCCAGAGCCUGAAUCAGUGUGUGUGUUAGUGGAAGCGUCUGGAAAGGCGCGCGAUACAGGGUGACAGCCCCGUACACAAAAAUGCACAUACUGUGAGCUCGAUGAGUAGGGCGGGACACGUGGUAUCCUGUCUGAAUAUGGGGGGACCAUCCUCCAAGGCUAAAUACUCCUGACUGACCGAUAGUGAACCAGUACCGUGAGGGAAAGGCGAAAAGAACCCCGGCGAGGGGAGUGAAAAAGAACCUGAAACCGUGUACGUACAAGCAGUGGGAGCCUCUUAAUGGGGUGACUGCGUACCUUUUGUAUAAUGGGUCAGCGACUUAUAUUCUGUAGCAAGGUUAACCGAAUAGGGGAGCCGAAGGGAAACCGAGUCUUAACUGGGCGUUAAGUUGCAGGGUAUAGACCCGAAACCCGGUGAUCUAGCCAUGGGCAGGUUGAAGGUUGGGUAACACUAACUGGAGGACCGAACCGACUAAUGUUGAAAAAUUAGCGGAUGACUUGUGGCUGGGGGUGAAAGGCCAAUCAAACCGGGAGAUAGCUGGUUCUCCCCGAAAGCUAUUUAGGUAGCGCCUCGUGAAUUCAUCUCCGGGGUAGAGCACUGUUUCGGCAAGGGGGUCAUCCCGACUUACCAACCCGAUGCAAACUGCGAAUACCGGAGAAUGUUAUCACGGGAGACACACGGCGGGUGCUAACGUCCGUCGUGAAGAGGGAAACAACCCAGACCGCCAGCUAAGGUCCCAAAGUCAUGGUUAAGUGGGAAACGAUGUGGGAAGGCCCAGACAGCCAGGAUGUUGGCUUAGAAGCAGCCAUCAUUUAAAGAAAGCGUAAUAGCUCACUGGUCGAGUCGGCCUGCGCGGAAGAUGUAACGGGGCUAAACCAUGCACCGAAGCUGCGGCAGCGACACUAUGUGUUGUUGGGUAGGGGAGCGUUCUGUAAGCCUGUGAAGGUGGCCUGUGAGGGUUGCUGGAGGUAUCAGAAGUGCGAAUGCUGACAUAAGUAACGAUAAAGCGGGUGAAAAGCCCGCUCGCCGGAAGACCAAGGGUUCCUGUCCAACGUUAAUCGGGGCAGGGUGAGUCGACCCCUAAGGCGAGGCCGAAAGGCGUAGUCGAUGGGAAACAGGUUAAUAUUCCUGUACUUGGUGUUACUGCGAAGGGGGGACGGAGAAGGCUAUGUUGGCCGGGCGACGGUUGUCCCGGUUUAAGCGUGUAGGCUGGUUUUCCAGGCAAAUCCGGAAAAUCAAGGCUGAGGCGUGAUGACGAGGCACUACGGUGCUGAAGCGACAAAUGCCCUGCUUCCAGGAAAAGCCUCUAAGCAUCAGGUAACAUUAAAUCGUACCCCAAACCGACACAGGUGGUCAGGUAGAGAAUACCAAGGCGCUUGAGAGAACUCGGGUGAAGGAACUAGGCAAAAUGGUGCCGUAACUUCGGGAGAAGGCACGCUGAUAUGUAGGUGAAGCGACUUGCUCGUGGAGCUGAAAUCAGUCGAAGAUACCAGCUGGCUGCAACUGUUUAUUAAAAACACAGCACUGUGCAAACACGAAAGUGGACGUAUACGGUGUGACGCCUGCCCGGUGCCGGAAGGUUAAUUGAUGGGGUUAGCGGCAACGCGAAGCUCUUGAUCGAAGCCCCGGUAAACGGCGGCCGUAACUAUAACGGUCCUAAGGUAGCGAAAUUCCUUGUCGGGUAAGUUCCGACCUGCACGAAUGGCGUAAUGAUGGCCAGGCUGUCUCCACCCGAGACUCAGUGAAAUUGAACUCGCUGUGAAGAUGCAGUGUACCCGCGGCAAGACGGAAAGACCCCGUGAACCUUUACUAUAGCUUGACACUGAACAUUGAGCCUUGAUGUGUAGGAUAGGUGGGAGGCUUUGAAGUGUGGACGCCAGUCUGCAUGGAGCCGACCUUGAAAUACCACCCUUUAAUGUUUGAUGUUCUAACGUGGGCCCGUAAUCCGGGUUGCGGACAGUGUCUGGUGGGUAGUUUGACUGGGGCGGUCUCCUCCUAAAGAGUAACGGAGGAGCACGAAGGUUGGCUAAUCCUGGUCGGACAUCAGGAGGUUAGUGCAAUGGCAUAAGCCAGCUUGACUGCGAGCGUGACGGCGCGAGCAGGUGCGAAAGCAGGUCAUAGUGAUCCGGUGGUUCUGAAUGGAAGGGCCAUCGCUCAACGGAUAAAAGGUACUCCGGGGAUAACAGGCUGAUACCGCCCAAGAGUUCAUAUCGACGGCGGUGUUUGGCACCUCGAUGUCGGCUCAUCACAUCCUGGGGCUGAAGUAGGUCCCAAGGGUAUGGCUGUUCGCCAUUUAAAGUGGUACGCGAGCUGGGUUUAGAACGUCGUGAGACAGUUCGGUCCCUAUCUGCCGUGGGCGCUGGAGAACUGAGGGGGGCUGCUCCUAGUACGAGAGGACCGGAGUGGACGCAUCACUGGUGUUCGGGUUGUCAUGCCAAUGGCACUGCCCGGUAGCUAAAUGCGGAAGAGAUAAGUGCUGAAAGCAUCUAAGCACGAAACUUGCCCCGAGAUGAGUUCUCCCUGACCCUUUAAGGGUCCUGAAGGAACGUUGAAGACGACGACGUUGAUAGGCCGGGUGUGUAAGCGCAGCGAUGCGUUGAGCUAACCGGUACUAAUGAACCGUGAGGCUUAACCUU
Molecule: ribosomal RNA, 2901 nt
Filed under: Escherichia coli
Lineage: Bacteria; Pseudomonadati; Pseudomonadota; Gammaproteobacteria; Enterobacterales; Enterobacteriaceae
Description: bacterial LSU rRNA
Rfam family: Bacterial large subunit ribosomal RNA
Source: RNAcentral